This 493-nucleotide ribosomal RNA is filed under the name uncultured bacterium. RNAcentral's name for it is "bacterial SSU rRNA". It matches the Rfam family "Bacterial small subunit ribosomal RNA", at positions 8 to 518 of the family's 1533-position model. The record is from RNAcentral.
AGAGUUGAUCAUGGCUCAGGACGAACGCUGGCGGCGUGCUUAACACAUGCAAGUCGAGCGAUGAAGCUCCUUCGGGAGUGGAUUAGCGGCGGACGGGUGAGUAACACGUGGGCAACCUGCCUUGUAGAGAGGAAUAGCCAUUCGAAAGGAUGAUUAAUACCUCAUAAUAUUGUAGCUUCGCAUGAAGCAACAACCAAAGGAGCAAUCCACUACAAGAUGGGCCCGCGGCGCAUUAGCUAGUUGGUGGGGUAACGGCUCACCAAGGCGACGAUGCGUAGCCGACCUGAGAGGGUGAUCGGCCACAUUGGGACUGAGACACGGCCCAGACUCCUACGGGAGGCAGCAGUGGGGAAUAUUGCACAAUGGGGGAAACCCUGAUGCAGCCAACGCCGCGUGAGUGAUGACGGUCUUCGGAUUGUAAAGCUCUGUCUUCAGGGACGAUAAUGACGGUACCUGAGGAGGAAGCCACGGCUAACUACGUGCCAGCAGCGGC